This 435-nucleotide ribosomal RNA is filed under the name uncultured bacterium. Its description in RNAcentral is "bacterial SSU rRNA". It matches the Rfam family "Bacterial small subunit ribosomal RNA", at positions 8 to 445 of the family's 1533-position model. The record is from RNAcentral.
AGAGUUUGAUCCUGGCUCAGAUUGAACGCUGGCGGCAUGCUUUACACAUGCAAGUCGAACGGCAGCGGGGGCUUCGGCCUGCCGGCGAGUGGCGAACGGGUGAGUAAUGCAUCGGAACGUGCCCAGUCAUGGGGGAUAACUACGCGAAAGCGUAGCUAAUACCGCAUACGCCCUGAGGGGGAAAGCGGGGGAUCGCAAGACCUCGCGUGAUUGGAGCGGCCGAUGUCGGAUUAGCUGGUUGGUGGGGUAAAGGCCUACCAAGGCGACGAUCCGUAGCGGGUCUGAGAGGAUGAUCCGCCACACUGGGACUGAGACACGGCCCAGACUCCUACGGGGGGCAGCAGUGGGGAAUUUUGGACAAUGGGGGCAACCCUGAUCCAGCCAUGCCGCGUGAGUGAAGAAGGCCUUCGGGUUGUAAAGCUCUUUCAGACGGAA